AUAUGACUCUCGGCAACGGAUAUCUCGGCUCUCGCAUCGAUGAAGAACGUAGCGAAAUGCGAUACUUGGUGUGAAUUGCAGAAUCCCGUGAACCAUCGAGUCUUUGAACGCAAGUUGCGCCCGAAGCCAUUAGGCYGAGGGCACGUCCGCCUGGGUGU
This 158-nucleotide ribosomal RNA is filed under the name Sinningia concinna. Its description in RNAcentral is "5.8S ribosomal RNA". It matches the Rfam family "5.8S ribosomal RNA". Rfam says of the family: 5.8S ribosomal RNA (5.8S rRNA) is a component of the large subunit of the eukaryotic ribosome. It is transcribed by RNA polymerase I as part of the 45S precursor that also contains 18S and 28S rRNA. Lineage: Eukaryota; Viridiplantae; Streptophyta; Magnoliopsida; Lamiales; Gesneriaceae. The record is from RNAcentral.